UGCGUAGGCGGUAUUAUAAGUCAGUGGUGAAAUGUUGCAGCUUAACUGUAAAAUUGCCAUUGAAACUGCAGUACUUGAGUUAUCUUGAAGUAGGCGGAAUGUGUAGUGUAGCGGUGAAAUGCUUAGAUAUUACACAGAACACCGAUUGCGAAGGCAGCUUACUAAGGGUAAACUGACGCUGAUGCACGAAAGCGUGGGGAUCGAACAGGAUUAGAUACCCUGGCAGUCCACGCCGUAAACGAUGAUAACUCGCUGUUGGCGAUACACAGUCAGCGGCUUAGCGAAAGCGUUAAGUUAUCCACCUGGGGAUACGCUCGCAAGAGUGAA
This 327-nucleotide ribosomal RNA is filed under the name uncultured bacterium. RNAcentral's name for it is "bacterial SSU rRNA". It matches the Rfam family "Bacterial small subunit ribosomal RNA", at positions 568 to 898 of the family's 1533-position model. The record is from RNAcentral.